GACGAACGCUGGCGGCGUGCCUAAUACAUGCAAGUUGAGCGAUGAAGAUUGGUGCUUGCCCCAAUUUGAAGAGCAGCGAACGGGUGAGUAACGCGUGGGGAAUCUGCCUUUGAGCGGGGGACAACAUUUGGAAACGAAUGCUAAUACCGCAUAAUAACUUUAAACAUAAGUUUUAAGUUUGAAAGAUGCAAUUGCAUCACUCAAAGAUGAUCCCGCGUUGUAUUAGCUAGUUGGUGAGGUAAAGGCUCACCAAGGCGAUGAUACAUAGCCGACCUGAGAGGGUGAUCGGCCACAUUGGGACUGAGACACGGCCCAAACUCCUACGGGAGGCAGCAGUAGGGAAUCUUCGGCAAUAGACGAAAGUCUGACCGAGCAACGCCGCGUGAGUGAAGAAGGUUGUCGGAUCGUAAAACUCUGUUGGUAGAGAAGAACGUUGGUGAGAGUGGAAAGCUCAUCAAGUGACGGUAACUACCCAGAAAGGGACGGCUAACUACGUG
RNAcentral lists this ribosomal RNA (497 nucleotides) under uncultured bacterium. Its description in RNAcentral is "partial 16S ribosomal RNA". It matches the Rfam family "Bacterial small subunit ribosomal RNA", at positions 28 to 507 of the family's 1533-position model. The record is from RNAcentral.